RNAcentral lists this ribosomal RNA (252 nucleotides) under uncultured bacterium. RNAcentral's name for it is "partial 16S ribosomal RNA". It matches the Rfam family "Bacterial small subunit ribosomal RNA", at positions 524 to 776 of the family's 1533-position model. The record is from RNAcentral.
UACGGGGGGGGUAAGCGUUGUUCGGAAUUACUGGGCGUAAAGGGCUCGUAGGCGGCCAACUAAGUCACACGUGAAAUCCCCAGCUUAACCUGGGAACUGCGUGUGAUACUGGAUGGCUUGAAUUCGGGAGAGGGAUGCAGAAUUCCAGGUGUAGCGGUGAAAUUCGUAGAUAUCGGGAGGAACACCGGUGGCGAAGGCGGCGACCUGGGUCGAGACUGACGCUGAGGCGCGAAAGCGUGGGGAGCAAACAGG